GUAUGUUCAUGUUCAUAUUCUUUAUUGAGUCAGUCAUUGAAUGGGGAGGUGGUUCUUUGGUAUAUAAGGGGAGAUUCAUUUCGUAUCUUAGAGUCCAUAAGUUAAUCCAAAAGGGCAUUUGUAUCGAUUGGUCCAAAUUAAAGGUUCUAACUUAGAAGGAUCUUCCCUGGAGCCCGUUCCCAUGGUCAAUAAAUUUCUCGAUGUUUUUCUCGGUGAUCCUUCUUUUAUUCCUCAGGAUAGGG
RNAcentral lists this long non-coding RNA (242 nucleotides) under Capsicum annuum. RNAcentral describes it as "long non-coding RNA (CANN_LNC011584)". Lineage: Eukaryota; Viridiplantae; Streptophyta; Magnoliopsida; Solanales; Solanaceae. The record is from RNAcentral.